CGGUCCAUGAUCUUAGCAACUAUUCUUAUCAAGUGGCCAUGGAGUACCUUGGAUAGCCCGUGCAUCUGUGGGCAACCACCACUUUGUUUCUCUGGUAGGGAAUUGAUUGUUGAAUCUGCUUGUUGAUUGAACUAAGGUGAACAUGAGCCCAUUUCCUUUACCACUUCUCUAUAAAAAUAUAUUUUUUAUGUCCUAGGAAACAACUGACCCCUUAGUGUGGAUUAUUUCUUAUUUUUUGUCCCAAGUUGAAGUCUAUCCUUUUUCUCCUACGCCAACAAGUUAUCUAUAUAUUGAUGAUACAAGAUGAUGGAGACCCAAAGACUUACCUAUUAUUGAUGAACCCGUCGGUGGAUUUGCUUUGUUAUGCAACUGGGUUGCUGGGUAAAAGCCUACAGCAAGUAGUUGCCAAGGUAAUUGGAGAGUAUCCAUUCCCAUCUUCUACGGUUCUUUUAAUGAAACUUAAUUUUUUUGACCCACCAACUUGUUCAAUUAAGUAUUUCCUUUGGUUAAAAAAAAAGUAUUUCCUUGACCCACCAAUUUGCUUACAAUGUUCUUCGAGGCACAAUCUCUCCCCUUGCUCCCAAAUUGUUAUAUCUAUGUUAUGUUCUUUUCUUUGAUCACUCCUUUAUCUUUGUUUUUUUCGUCUAUUGGUUCUGUAAGAGGGAAUGAUUGUCAACAUGGCAUUAUAAAAGUCUCCAAGGCUUUUAGAGGUU
Molecule: long non-coding RNA, 713 nt
Organism: Dendrobium catenatum
Lineage: Eukaryota; Viridiplantae; Streptophyta; Magnoliopsida; Asparagales; Orchidaceae
Exons: 2
Source: RefSeq, a predicted model, not a curated record